This is a long non-coding RNA of Bubalus bubalis (water buffalo), 459 nucleotides long. RefSeq lists it as uncharacterized. The record is from RefSeq and is a predicted model, not a curated record. Lineage: Eukaryota; Metazoa; Chordata; Mammalia; Artiodactyla; Bovidae. The transcript has 2 exons.
CACGCCCCGCGUGUAGACCCCUGGAAGGGGGCACACCCUCGAGUAAGCGCUGAGCCAUGAACUUCGAGGGUGCGCGCAGCAACCUUAGAUAGAGCCGGCCAGCGGUCAUCCUACCCACGAUUCACGCAGCGAUCACUUCCGUCGAGAGCACUUCCGCCCCCGAUACUGCUGUUGAGACACUCCGGCGCACCUUUGACGUCACGCGGAAAGAAAGCGUUGCAAGAAAGACUUCUAGUGUUGGGUACUGGAGAGUUUAAUGAAAGUUGGAGUUGCUGCUGCUUUAUUCGCUCGUCUGUUUGUGUUCACUGGAAAAGCAACAUUUAAAAACUGCCAUAACUCAACAGUUCAUCACCUUUGCAUAUUUGUCUCACUUUAGAAUAAAUUUCGUAAUUGCAUAUUUGUCUCACUUUAGAAUAAAUAUCGUAACUAAAGACAAAUAAAAAUAAUUGUAAUUUUAAA